This 882-nucleotide long non-coding RNA is filed under the name Rattus norvegicus (Norway rat). RNAcentral's name for it is "long non-coding RNA NONRATT009219". The record is from RNAcentral. Lineage: Eukaryota; Metazoa; Chordata; Mammalia; Rodentia; Muridae.
CUUUUGUUAGAGUUCGGCUGUGCCUUCGGUCCUUACCUACUGGUUCGCAAUCCGGCGCCAUCGCGCUUUGGGCGAGCAUGGUGAUGGGGAGUAGCGAGGUGGGAACCGAGCUGACGUCUGUCUGGUCUUGGCGACCGUGGCGCGCGACCGGGAGGACUGGCCGGAGCAUGUCUCCAGGAGACGGGUCAAUGGUGCGGAGGUGACGCAGGAGCUCUUGGUGUGACCUGGGCCUAUGUAUGAUACCACAGGAGCUUGACCGAGGAUGCUCUGGUGUUUUAAUAAGUGACCCCUUUUUCUGAAGAUGUUGGGUGGUUAAUGAAAGAAGGAAUUGUAUUCUUGGCGAUGUCUGAAAGAAAUGUGUGGCUUUGAAAGAAGAUUAUGAAAUAUACAGGAAAGGAGUGAAAUCAAAGGAUGUUUUUCCAUGAUAGAGUAAUGUUUACACAUGUAUUCAGUAAUGUGAAGAUUUAUAUAAGCAGUAAGAAGAACUAAGUUCUUUAUGUGAGCCGGACUUCUAAGUUACUAGGCUGGUGGCCUUCAGCUCUAAUUUUAAUUUACAUCAGUCUUUCAGGGACCUGGGAUUUCCAUGAUUGCUGGCUUGGUUUUUCCCCAGAGUCCUGAUGUGUAGAAAUAACUUUGAGGGGAUACAACCAGUAGGAAACGUGGCUGGGGAUCAGUGUAACCGAACCUGUGGCUGUGUGAAAGCCAGUAACUGUUUCCCUGAUGUCAUCUAUGCCUGAGCACUUUCUUUAUGUGUGGAAGAAGGUAUUUGUGCCCUGGCCUCACUGCCUCCGUAAUGUCAUCCAGACCAGCAGACACCCAGACCAGCAGACACCCAUUAGUUAGUUGGAUUAGGAGUCAGUGCUGGAUGGCAUGGCUGUACAG